Long non-coding RNA from Prinia subflava (tawny-flanked prinia), 856 nucleotides. RefSeq lists it as uncharacterized. The transcript has 2 exons. Lineage: Eukaryota; Metazoa; Chordata; Aves; Passeriformes; Cisticolidae. The record is from RefSeq and is a predicted model, not a curated record.
UCCUUCUUUUUGUUUCUUCCUGUCAAACUUGGCACUCUCCACUGAUAAAAGCCUGUUAGCAUUUCGGCUGAGUGUCUGCAGUUUGUGCACCUGGUUCUUAAGAGAACUAUGUCUUUCAUGAGAAAAAAUGUGCCUUUUUUGCAUAGAAGAAGGAAAAUAGGUUAUUCCCUAUUACUGCCUUCAGAAUUAUUGGCAUAAAAAUAGUAGUGUAACCUUUGUACUUCGACUUCAGUUUCAGCUUUUCCAUGUAAUCUUCUUUUCAACACAUCGGCCUCUCUCUGCUGAGCUUCUUUCCUUUCCUGUUUUGCUCCUCCCCUUCUGCUUCCUCCUCCCUGUUUACCCACAGCUCACUCUGUUGUACAGUUUAACAUACUCUCUAGCUCUUCAAGGUAUUCUGUCUAUGAAUCUUUCUAUAGCUCUUGUGUUUAUUUGGGAAUAUGAGUUCUACAGGUGGUGGAGGUGCUAGCCAGCAACAUAUUUUUCAAAUUACCAUUAUUAAAAGUAAAUUUCUCUCUUUAACAGAGAAGACAUAAACAGCUGCUGCUCUGGAUCAGCUGCUGCAGAGUGCAGGCCAGCAGUGAUUCACUGACCCAGGACUGAGCUGUGGACCCAAGAGUGCUUCUCAGACCCAGGUCCCUCUGAUCUGAUCACUGAUCUGAUACUCUGAGUGCUCACUGUAACCAGAAGAGGGUGUGCUCCACAGUGGUCUUCAGAUUUGGCAAAUUUUUGUGGUCUGGACACCUAAUCCAGAGGGCUACUGGAUAAAUGGAAAUAAAUCCAUCAGGAAAGACACUCUUCCUAGCCCUUAAUGUUUAAAAGACUAAGUCCUUUUUAAUAAAUUGUUGUUUAUUUUGUC